Molecule: long non-coding RNA, 2661 nt
Organism: Thunnus maccoyii (southern bluefin tuna)
Lineage: Eukaryota; Metazoa; Chordata; Actinopteri; Scombriformes; Scombridae
Exons: 5
Source: RefSeq, a predicted model, not a curated record
CUUUCACACAAAUUACUUUUAUGGCCAUUGUGGGCAGUCUAUCAUUACUGUUUGGGCCUGCAGGUCUUCCGAAACUUUUAGAAAGUGCCAUUCUGAAAAUAUAGACACAAAAAAGACAUGAGACACAAAAAAUACUGUUUUCAGAGGCAAGGUAACAUUGAUUUAAUGAAAAUAAUAAACCCACCAGAACAUGUUUUAUUUUUCCCAGUAGCCUAUGAAUUCAAAUGUACCGAUUAACCAGCUAAUAAACUCUACAUGAAGUCAUGAUGUUGCACACUCCAUUACAUGCACCUGUUGCUCUGGAUUGUAGUCUGCCAUUACACAAAAGAAAUAGUGCAGUUCCGGGUCCGUGUAACUACAGUGGCAGCAGUUCGCUCAAUAGGGCAGCUAUGUGCAGGUACCCAAGAUGUCGAAGAUUUAACAACGCAGAUUCCCAGUUAACAGUAACUUAAGCCUGCAAAAUGACCAUAAAGUUGAAUCAACACUUCUCUAAGACAGCAAAAAAUCUGAACAGUUUAAUCUUCAUGAAAGUAGGAUUUAUGUGUUGUAUUUGAAUGUAUUAUUUUUAUUCUAUUGUUAGGUUUGCCUAACUGGCAACUGAGUGUUUAUGUUUCUGCAUUCUUCCACCUGUGUAAUUGCCUCCUAAUGCAUAUUUCUGUAAUAAGCAAAAAGUAAAUUUCACCGCCAGCUGUUAUAUACAUUAUGUAGACAUUUCUCUAAACCUAGACAAUAAGUCACAGUAGUUUUCUCCCAAGGCCAAGUUACUGAGUCAUUACUAACAACUAAUGCAUCUGUGAAUGCUUUCAUUUAUGCUUUCAAUAGGUUGUCAGCAAUUAACUCAAAUAAAUCAUCUCUAAUUUGUGCUUUGGAGCUGGACAGUGGAAGUACUGAAUGACAACAGUUAAGGUACUUUCAGAAAGGGAGCGGUUGUUGCUGUGUCUGCUACCUGGUGACACAUGGUGUUGUGCAUUUUGAGAGGGAAGCAGCAAGGCACAACUCUCCCACUGCAGCUAACAGCUACAUUUGAUCGUACUAACAACCACUACAGACUCAUCACAUAGCCAAAGAGUGCGCUGUUGCUGGUUAGGCAUAUGACACGAUUUAUAUAGCCAAUUUGGCAUAUUAAUGCCAUAUGGCUCGUUUAGUGGCCCAAUCUGCAUUAUCAAACUUUGAAGCUAAUGUUGUUCCAAGACCAUUUUUAUUAAUUAGCAAAUCUACGAACAUGUACCUGGUAUAUGACUGUUUUCUCUCUUCUCCACACAUCACAGAACCAGGAACAGAGGACUCAGAGGCAGUGCAGCUACGUGACUCAUUGCUGAGCGUUCAAUGCUCCUCUUCAGCUGGACCCAGACAGUCUGCUAUGACAAGAGGUGAAGUUGCACACUUGUCGCAGAAGCAGUGCAGUCAUCUUGAGCUGGACCCAAGCAUGUUAGCGUUCCACAACAGCCAGAAAUGAAGGAGGACUUCAGCAAUACUUCCCUGACACUAAGACUACACCGUAAAAAUCUCUGGACAUGUACCUGAACCAGAACCACAUGGACUGAGGAACAGGAACAGGGGACUCAGAGGCAGUGCAUCUACAUGACUCUUUGCUGAGCAUUCAGGGCUCCUCAUCAGCUGGACCCAGACAGUCUGUGUGUUGUGAGGGCUGUUGUGAGGGCUGACGGUGAUCUCCUGCUAAUCAGCACCUUUUGGUACAGGCAGAAAUUCAUCCACCAGGCUGUCCAAAAUGGCCUAGACCACAUCUGGCACAGUGGAGAUGCCCAUCCAGUAACUGGAGGUAAUGCUGGUGUGGGAGUCACCAGUUGCCAGGUAUCUGAAAUGAAUGAUAAUGCUGUCAGUAAAAGUAAAACUGCAAAACCUCCAAUCCAACUUAUUUAAAAUACUGUUUAUCAUAUAGCCACCAUUUUAUAAUCAUUUAUAAAUCACUCACCUCUGACAAAUUAUCAGAUGCUCUGUUGGAGAAACUGGCUCAUGGUAAUUUGUCUGGAUCCUUGAGAUCCUAGGUCCAACUUUCCCCAGCAGACUGUCAAACUGCUUCCUGCUGAGCUGAAAGUAGACCUGGAACCAGUCGCUAUGGAAACAGAGCUCCUUCACAAGCCUCAACAAUUCCCAAAACUGCUCUCUGGACCUGAGGGUCUCAUGCACCCACAGCUUCUUCUUCCAUGGUACUCCCCUUCCUCUUCUUACUAGCAGGGCUAGUGCUAACACAUGUUUCUUAGCAUGGGACAGAUGCGUUUUCGUUACUAGCAACAACAAAAUUACAAAGGUAGACGUAAUGAUGUAGUGAUGUAGUGUUGUAACUCCCGCUAGAAGUUUUGUAAAAUCCACCUUUUCUGCUCCGUCCUCCACAACUUCCCUGAACACCUAGUCAGAUUUGCGCUGAACCCAGCAAUGAGCACAGUGCAAAUCACAUUGUGUCUGAAACGGCCUUAAUGACUUAUAAUUUUAAAAGGCUUAUUUCACCCAAAUACUACUUUCUGUCCAAGUACUUAUAAUUUUAAAGGUUUAUUCCACCCACAUACUACUUUCUGUCUAACAACUUUUUUUUUAUUCCACCCUGUCUUGCAAUUUAACUUGGUUGCUAAUAGUCGCAUGUUGGGAAAUUUGUGUAAUUAGCAUAAUUAGCUCAUUAUCAGGUAAAAUAAAUAUGGAAUAAUA